CCUCCGUAGACCAGCCAGGACACGCAGUCGGCGUUCACCAUGGAAAACGCAAAAGGCGUGUCGUACUUGAGGUCCACUUCCCCUUCCUUAAUGGCCCUGACGGACGCGGGCCCACAGCAGUAGAGGCCUGAGGAGAAACGCGAGAAGCCCCAGAAUCCUGCCUGUGCUGUCGUAAUAUUCAUCUAUGACCAGAUUUCCGUCUGUGUCAUGGCCGGAGUCAAAGUUGGUGAUCACACGGGUGGGGAUCCCAAGGCACCGCAUCACUGCACAGAAAAGGCAGAAAAAUCGCCCCAGGGACUGUGGGCUUGGAACACUGCAGACUCCUGACCCUAAGGCACAUCUGCUGGACACCAGGCAGGAAUUGCCUGAGCGUGGGGUUGAUGACAUGUUCCACCUCCCUCCCAUGUCCUGAGUCCAUGGAGAAGACUAUGCAAAUGUUGGAAUGUUGGCUGCUCAGACAAGCAUUGCCAGACAGAGCUGACAAAAAGACGGGCAAGUCAUGGGGCCAUGGCAUGUCCAGGCCACACCAGCAGGGCAGGGUCCACCCGUCUCCUCCACUGGUGAGACUUCAGGGGCCUGACUCAAUCUCACUUCUCUCCUGACCGUGAAUCUCCAUCUUCAACCCAGACAGUUGGCAAUCUCUUCCUCCCUGUUCUUAGGAGCAUUGGCUGAGGCUAUUGGUUUCUCAGGCAGAAUGUUUAGACACUUGGAUUACCGCACACCUUCCCCUAGAUGUGUGAUCUUGGAAGCCUGUCAAGGAAAAUGUCACAAAUGGAGCCAGGCAUGGAAGGAAGCUGGGGUACAAAAACUUAGGGAAGUGAGAGUGUGCUCCAGGGAGGACAAGCCUGGAAGGGACAGAGGAGGUGUUGUCUUUACCCCUAAGGGGCAUCCAUUCCCUCUGCUGGCCAGCUUCCUCUCUUCAUCCUCUGCCAAAAUCGCUGUGCAGUGCCCUGUGAAGUACAGCCAUGUUGCUGCCAUCAGAUGCCCCGGGGAUCCCUGUGUCCUCAAGUCUAGCAGUGAUGACCCACACAGGUCAGGACUAAUCUUAACUACAAGGUGUACCAGCCAGCCAAAGUGUGAUGUGUUUUGCCUGCGUCAUCCUUAGGACUACAUCACCUGGUAGCUGCAAUUAUUAUCUCCACUGUGAAGAUAUCACAUCAGAAGCUAAAAAAAGUCACACAACUGGGCAUGUCUCAUCUCUGAGCAUUCACACAUGUACAAAUCUUGAAAGGGGAGAGGAAUUAACACCCCAGGAGCAAACUGUGACCAUUGAGACCAAGAUCUGCUAAGGAAAUCAUCCUCUUCCUGGCCUCAGGCUGAGUAAUUAAAAGGUAUGUUUCUCCUUGCUCCCAAGAGGAUCUUCCAAGUAGGACUGAGUUCCAUUUUCCCAUGGCAAUGACCAAUGUGAUAACACAUUUUUAUUUCCUACUGUGCUAACAUAUAGCAUGAAACCUAACAUUUUAACAACUUUCUGUAUUUGUCAGUGACAUCUAGGACAUGCAUAUUGUUUCCAACCACCACCGCUAGCAAGCUCCAGAUCAUUUUUGUCACCCCUUCCGCCUAAA
Ochotona princeps (American pika) is the source of this 1565-nucleotide long non-coding RNA. RefSeq lists it as uncharacterized. The transcript has 3 exons. The record is from RefSeq and is a predicted model, not a curated record. Lineage: Eukaryota; Metazoa; Chordata; Mammalia; Lagomorpha; Ochotonidae.